CUUCAGUACAUGACAAGUGGUCUCAUUUUCAUAAAAAAUUUCAAUAAUUUCAUUCUGAAGCGCAAAGAAGACGAAUGAAGAAAUAAGAGCUAGCUGUUUCUUCGGUGGCUGAUGUGCACGUUUGAACUUUAAUAUGGCACAGCUUGAUUUCGUCGAAAAGCGUCGAAGGAUACUUACGUAGAGUAUUUUAAUAAUUUCAUUCUGAAGCGCAAAGAAGACGAAUAAAGAAAUAAGAGCUAGCUGUUUCUUCGGCGGUGAUGGUGCGCGUUUGAACUGUAAAUGUGGUACAGCUCGAUUUCGCCGAACAGCGUCGAAGAAUACUUACAAUCAUGAUGAAGAUCGUAUGAAGAAAAUUUGGAGUUUCUUCGGCGGCGGUGCACUACUCCGUAUACACUGUAGAUUGGUACAACUCGGUUUCCCGGGAAGAGUCGACGCUUAAAUCUUGCCAUAAUAUCGGAAAAACAAAAAAACUGAAAUAAUUACGCUAUAUCCUUGAAUAAUGUCAACCCGGAGGACGAUUGGCAGUAUCAUUAAGAAGCUCAUCUGAAUAACAAAAAUAAAUGUCACAAGGCUGUGUUUGUUUAAUACUAUAAUUUUUUUAACAGUAGUACAGUAUAUUAUGAAUAUUUACUUAAAUUAUAACUUAAUUUAAUAUAACUUAAUAUAACUUAAUUUUACUUAAAUUAUAUUUAAUUUUUAUGGUUUUUUUUUCAGAUAAUAUACUGUACUAUGGUUUUAGGUGUUCUUUUUAUUUUAAUAAUACGUUGAUAAAUUACCAAUUUUUUUUCUUAUCACAAAGCUAGUUCGUCUUUGUGUAUGUUUAAAUUUAUAUUUUUUAUAGUUAUUGUGCUGUUUAACUUUCUUAUAAAAGAGAGUGAGGAAUUAAAAAGGUGGCCACCGAACAGAAAGUUAAACUGCAAUAUACUAUAAUCUUUUUAGUUCGUGUUUACAUUUUUAACUGAUAAAUUAUGAAUAUAAAAUUUCAAAUUAAUUUAAACUCAAAAAUAAAAGAACACCAACAUAGAUUUCUUAAACAUUAAAAUUUUACUAUAAAUUUAAAUUACAUUUAAUCAGCACAUUAGUUGAAGUUUUAUAGGAACCGAACAUUUGGCUGGAUCAUGGACUACCCACCGACGGAGAAUUUGUCAUUGAGCUGAUGGGAAAUGUGUCGGCACUCGGCUUCGUUUCAACCCGGAGGAAGAUUGGCAGCAGCAAAAAGAAAUUCAACUGAUAAUCAACUGUCCAAAUGAAGAAGAAUUUGUCACAAAGCUGAUGGGAAAUGUGUCAGCACUCGGCUUCGUUUCAACCCGGAGGAAGAUUGGCAGCAGCAAAAAGAAAUUCAACUGAUAAUCAACUGUCCAAAUGAAGAAGAAUUUGUCACAAAGCUGAUGGGAAAUGUGUCGGCACUCGGCUUCGUUUCAACCCGGAGGAAGAUUGGCAGCAUCAAUAAGAAGCUCAUCUUAAUUUAGUUGUCCCCCCUUUACGCAUUAGCGCUCAUCUCUCAUCCACUCAUCCAACACAUUCACUAUCGCCGGCCGGCAACACACAUAUAUUAUACACAUUACCCGUUUUAUAUUAUAUAGUAUAGUAUUAUUAAUAUCCACAUAAUUUAAGUUAUUGUAUAUUUUUUUUUUAUUAUUUGAAUGCAUUCAUAUGAUUAGUGGCGUAUUUAGGAAUUUUAGGAUAAGGGCAACACAUAUUUUGCCACCUCCCCCCCAUUAAAAAAAAAUUAAAAACCUUCUACGCCGCGCAAUGGUCAAACUGUUAAUACCAUAGAAUACCAUGUUAUAUAAAUACUAUAGUAUUUUAUACCUCUAUGGCACACAUUUGUUGUGAAAAAUAUUAAUGAUUGACGUCACUGCGCCAGUACUCAUAAAGUACAAGAUAAAAAUUUGCCGUUCUGAACAACUGGACCCAAAGCCCCUACCUAAAUACUCCCCUGCAUAUGAUGCGUUCUUGCUUACGAUGUGGAUUAGGCCUACUGGGGACACCACAAUAAAAAAACGCGCCUCGUGUAAUACCUCAUAAAGUUAUUAAACAAUACGGACUAUGUUAUUGUACGUCG
This is a long non-coding RNA of Rhopalosiphum padi (bird cherry-oat aphid), 2065 nucleotides long. RefSeq lists it as uncharacterized. NCBI's taxonomy places the organism in Eukaryota, Metazoa, Arthropoda, Insecta, Hemiptera, Aphididae. The transcript has 6 exons. The record is from RefSeq and is a predicted model, not a curated record.